Molecule: ribosomal RNA, 448 nt
Filed under: uncultured bacterium
Lineage: Bacteria
Description: bacterial SSU rRNA
Rfam family: Bacterial small subunit ribosomal RNA
Source: RNAcentral
CACCAGACUCCUACGGGAGGCAGCAGUGGGGAAUAUUGCACAAUGGGGGAAACCCUGAUGCAGCGACGCCGCGUGAGCGAUGAAGUAUUUCGGUAUGUAAAGCUCUAUCAGCAGGGAAGAAAAUGACGGUACCUGACUAAGAAGCCCCGGCUAACUACGUGCCAGCAGCCGCGGUAAUACGUAGGGGGCAAGCGUUAUCCGGAUUUACUGGGUGUAAAGGGAGCGUAGACGGCUGUGCAAGCCAGAUGUGAAAGCCCGGGGCUCAACCCCGGGACUGCAUUUGGAACUGUGUGGCUGGAGUGUUGGAGAGGCAGGCGGAAUUCCUAGUGUAGUGGUGAAAUGCGUAGAUAUUAGGAGGAACACCAGUGGCGAAGGCGGCCUGCUGGACGAUGACUGACGUUGAGGCUCGAAAGCGUGGGGAGCAAACAGGAUUAGAUACCCGAGUAGC